AGCAGCCGCGGUAAUUCCAGCUCCAAUAGCGUAUAUUAAAGUUGUUGCAGUUAAAAAGCUCGUAGUUGAAUUUCGGGGUCAGUAGGUUGGUCAUGCCUUCGGUAUGUACUGGUCUCACUGAUUCCUCCUUCUUGAAGAUCCGUAAUGUCAUUAAUUUGGUGUUGCGGGGAAUCAGGACUGUUACUUUGAAAAAUUAGAGUGUUUAAAGCAGGCUAACGCUUGAAUACAUUAGCAUGGAAUAAUGAAAUAGGACGUUUGAUCCUAUUUUGUUGGUUUCUAGGAUUGACGUAAUGAUUAAUAGGGAUAGUUGGGGGCAUUAGUAUUCAAUUGUCAGAGGUGAAAUUCUUGGAUUUAUUGAAGACUAACUACUGCGAAAGCAUUUGCCAAGGAUGUUUUCAUUAAUCAAGAACGAAAGUUAGGGGAUCGAAGACGAUCAGAUACCGUCGUAGUCUUAACCAUAAACUAUGCCGACUAGGGAUCGGAUGAUGUUAAUUUUUAAUGUACUCAUUCGGCUACCG
This 518-nucleotide ribosomal RNA is filed under the name uncultured Glomeromycotina. RNAcentral describes it as "SSU rRNA". It matches the Rfam family "Eukaryotic small subunit ribosomal RNA", at positions 569 to 1089 of the family's 1831-position model. Lineage: Eukaryota; Fungi; Glomeromycota. The record is from RNAcentral.